Molecule: ribosomal RNA, 254 nt
Filed under: uncultured prokaryote
Description: partial 16S ribosomal RNA
Rfam family: Bacterial small subunit ribosomal RNA
Source: RNAcentral
GACAGAGGUCCCGAGCGUUGUUCGGAUUCAUUGGGCGUAAAGGGCGCGUAGGCGGCCUGUGCAAGUCAGUUGUGAAAUCUCCGGGCUUAACUCGGAACGGUCAACUGAUACUGCUCGGCUAGAGUGCGGAAGGGGCAACUGGAAUUCUUGGUGUAGCGGUGAAAUGCGUAGAUAUCAAGAGGAACACCUGCGGCGAAGGCGGGCUACUGGGCCGAUACUGACGCUGAUGUGCGAAAGCCAGGGGAGCGAACGGG